RNAcentral lists this ribosomal RNA (741 nucleotides) under Bacillus sp. UST050418-531. Its description in RNAcentral is "bacterial SSU rRNA". It matches the Rfam family "Bacterial small subunit ribosomal RNA", at positions 44 to 739 of the family's 1533-position model. Lineage: Bacteria; Bacillati; Bacillota; Bacilli; Caryophanales; Bacillaceae. The record is from RNAcentral.
GUGCUAUGGACAUGCAGUCGNNCGAAUGGAUUGAGAGCUUGCUCUCAAGAAGUUAGCGGCGGACGGGUGAGUAACACGUGGGUAACCUGCCCAUAAGACUGGGAUAACUCCGGGAAACCGGGGCUAAUACCGGAUAANAUUUUGAACUGCAUGGUUCGAAAUUGAAAGGCGGCUUCGGCUGUCACUUAUGGAUGGACCCGCGUCGCAUUAGCUAGUUGGUGAGGUAACGGCUCACCAAGGCAACGAUGCGUAGCCGACCUGAGAGGGUGAUCGGCCACACUGGGACUGAGACACGGCCCAGACUCCUACGGGAGGCAGCAGUAGGGAAUCUUCCGCAAUGGACGAAAGUCUGACGGAGCAACGCCGCGUGAGUGAUGAAGGCUUUCGGGUCGUAAAACUCUGUUGUUAGGGAAGAACAAGUGCUAGUUGAAUAAGCUGGCACCUUGACGGUACCUAACCAGAAAGCCACGGCUAACUACGUGCCAGCAGCCGCGGUAAUACGUAGGUGGCAAGCGUUAUCCGGAAUUAUUGGGCGUAAAGCGCGCGCAGGUGGUUUCUUAAGUCUGAUUGUGAAAGCCCACGGCUCAACCGUGGAGGGGUCAUUGGAACACUGGGGANGAACUUUGGAGUUGCCAGAAGACGGGAACAGGUGGACUUCCCCUUGUGUUAGCGGGUGAAAAUGCGUUAGAGGAUAUGGGAGGCAACCCCCGGUGGGCGAAGGCGACUUUUCUGGCUCUCGUA